GUAUAUUUCUGAGAGUCGGACGGUAUAUUUAUCGAUCUGGUCACACUGACACACGCGUCUUUUCGCUGGCUUUUUUUUUCGUUUAUAUUAAAUUAAUUUAUCACUUGUUUUCCUAACUGGUGGCACAUUCACCAGGACCAUGGGCUCCUCCAAGAAGCACAAGAAGAACAAAUCAGAGCGCCGGGAUAAAUAUGAAGAAUAUAGCCAGCACCAGAAUCCGGCCCAUUUGCAGCGGGGACUGAAGCUCAUCCUGAAAGUGGCCACUCCUGAGUACAGCUCCAACUCCCACAUGACGUCCAGCGCGGUAGAUGGACCCCCCACGGCGGCCGAGGCCAUGAUGUCUCCGGUGCCUGAUGAAUUGCAGGAAACGGGUGGUCACCGUGAGCGCCACAAAAAGUCCAAGAAAAAGAAAAAGAAGAAGGACCGUGAGAAGAAGCACAAGCACCACAAGGAGAAGCGGCACAAGAGCCGCGACAAACAUCGAGAUGUGGACUCGGUGGAUGAAGAACUUGCAGCGCUCAACGAUGAUGCGGCCUGCAGUGGAUUUGGAUCGCAACAGGCGGUUAUACCGCCACCAAUUGAUGCCGACUCGAGCCAGGACGGCUUCAGCUUCAUGGACGACGAUCAGUCGCAGCCGCUUCCAGAGAAUAUACUUUUUUACGCCGGCAUCACCACCGACAACUCUCCGUCCAAUUGCCCGGUGAGCAAGCCGAUUGCCCCGCGCAAACUGGAUGAGAUACUAAUGGCUUCCUCGCCCGCAUCAUCAUCACUGCCAUCGUCAUCGCUGGGCCUGGCAGGCAGCAGUCCCACCAAGCCACUACCAGACCUCCAUAUCCCAUCACCUUCCACACCAGGCGGCGCCAGCUCCCAGAAUACUUUAACACCCAAAGCUCUGGAGGCGCCGAGAACUCCAAGCAGCAGCAGUGAGUCCGGCCGAGAGCCACGAACCUGCGUCCUCAAGCUGAAGCAGCAGAAAUCGCCGCUCAACAAGCUGCUGGAGCAUCUGCUGCGCUUCCUGGAGAAGCGGGAUCCGCACCAGUUCUUCGCCUGGCCCGUCACAGACGACAUUGCCCCCAAUUACUCGUCGAUCAUCAGCAAGCCCAUGGACUUCUCCACCAUGCGCCAAAAGAUCGAUGGCCACGAGUACUCCACGUUGACCGAAUUCAGCGAUGACUUCAAGCUGAUGUGCGACAACGCCAUUAAAUACAACCACGUGGACACGGUCUACAACAAGGCGGCUAAGAAGCUGCUGCAGGUCGGAAUGAAGCAUUUGCAGCCGGAGAAUAUGAUGAGGAGUCUCAAGCCCCUCUCUGGUUUCAUGCGAGAGCUGACGGCCAAGGAGCUGGGCUUUGAGUUGAGCUCGAAUGAGAUGGGCUACGAUCUGCAUGAUUCGGCGGAUGAGGGAGCCUCAACGGGGGCAGAAGAGCCACCCACACCAGCUCAACUGGAGGAGGAGGAGCGCAAGAGAGCCUUGCGCCUGGAGAAUGCACCCAAAAACCAUUUCGAGCCGUAUGUAGAUGACCUGACUGGCGAGGAGAUCCUGGCCCAGGUACAGAAUGCCGCCCAACAGGCCAAGCAGCGUGUGAACGCCAAGAAGAAUGCCCACAAAAUGGGUUUCCUGCGUCAAGGCCGCGAUGGCAGCACCACCUUGAAUCUGCUCAUCAAAGAGGAAACCGAGGGCCCCGAGCGAGUCGUAACCAUUGGCGAUCUGGUGGGCAAACUCCAGACCGGCAGCACUCAGCUGCAAGUGCGUCAGGUCGAUAGCCGCAAUGUGGUGAAGCCCGUGAAGCCGCUGAGCUACGGAGCCUAUGCCAGCUUCGCGCCGACCUUCGACUCCCGAUUCUCCACGCUGAGUGCCGAGGAGACGAAGCUCGUGCUGCGUACUUACGGCGAUGCCUCCAGCGCGGAGUACGCCGAGAGCAUUCUUCAGUUCACUAAGGACUCUAGCUUUGGCACCAACAUAGCCAACGGCCUGCUGGACAUUCUCACCAACGGGGAGCACAGCAAGUCCCUAGACGAACUCUACAACAUGCAGCUGCACUCGUACGAGCAUCAGGAAAUCGAGAAAUGCUUCGACACCGAGGAGUCAUCCACUGCGCAGGCCCAGCCACAGGAAACCCAAGAGCAAAUUGAGCAGGAGUACGAGAAGUACAAGAAAACUCGCGUGGACUUCAAGCGCUUGCAAUCCCUCAAGGAACUGGGCAUCGAUGUGAGCUUCCUGGACAGCAUGGAGACGGAAAUGAAGACUUUUGAGCUCAACCGCCGUAUGCACGAGCAUCUAAGCAAUAAUCUCACUCUAAUCGAGAAGCUGCGGGUAACCCAGCACGAACGCCUCUCCCAACCGCUGCCCAGCCACCUGGGUCUAGUGCAGCCAGCGGGUCAGGAGGAGGCCCAAACCGCGCAGCAACUGACGCAGCAGAUCAGCGACUUGGCCAAGAAGCUGCCGCCCUCCGCCAUAGCAGAUCCCUUUGCUCUGCGAAAGGCCAUGGGAAUGUCUUAUGCUGGUUUGCCGCCACCACCGCCCGCCUCACCGCGCGUCCAACUGCCGGAACUUCUCCAGCAGCCUGUGGGCCUGCCCCAGCUGCCGCCAGUGCCUAUGGACAUUGACGAGCAGGAUGAGCCCAGUGGCGGUGUCGCUGGGGAUCUGGAGAACGAGCUGCGCGAGUUUCUCGAAAGCGGCUCCGGCAUGCACUCAUCGAAUCCAUCCGACGACAACAGCAUUGUGGCACAACUGCUGCUUAAUUAGUGCGAUAGAUGCGGAUGCGGGAUACCAUGACGCGCGCUAUGUUUAUAAUGUUUUUAAAAAUAUGCAAGCUCGUGUAAAAGGGGAGCAGAUGCUAACAGAUUCCUAAAGAGGAGAUUGCUUUUACGUACAAUAUUGAAUGGGUCCCACAUUGGAAGAAGUGGAAUUUCUUAAUGCAGGAAAAUUGUUAUUUUGAAACCACAUUCUUACCUUUAACCAUGAAAGCACAUUAAAACGACUCCCUGAAACUAUUUUUCAUUUAAAAAAAUAAAAGUAAAUUACUCCUAA
Drosophila pseudoobscura is the source of this 3031-nucleotide RNA transcript. It is a transcript of the gene named Bromodomain containing 7/9, with no coding region annotated. The transcript is spliced from 6 exons. Lineage: Eukaryota; Metazoa; Arthropoda; Insecta; Diptera; Drosophilidae. The record is from RefSeq and is a predicted model, not a curated record.